UCUUGGACAGGGUGUGUUCCUGUUUUCUGUCUCACACCUGUCUUUCCUGUCUUCACAUCGUUCUCUGCUGUCUCUGUUCUCUUCCUCUUUUCCACCCUUUUCUGCGCCUCAGGCUGGGGUUCGGGUCUUUCAGGAGGAGCAUCCAUCCAUUUCCUCUUCAAAGGACUCUCUUUGCUUACACUUCUGGUGACAGAGCAGGAUGCCUCUACACAGGUGUCUCUGUUUCUGUUGCUCUCCUCAUGCUGCAGGUUCUGCUUGUGGUCAGUGUUUUUCUUGCUCUGAUACAGCUGAUAAAUGUAAUCAGGUGUGUUACAACAAAGAAAGCAACAAGCAUCCUCUGUCUGGGAAUCACGACAUCAGAAAUAAAAAAAAUUAUAGAAUUUUUUCCUCCUGUUGUAAUGUGUUAAAUUGUUUUGCUUUUGAAUUUCAAAUGCUGAGCCUUUAUUAUAUGCAAUCUUUAUAUAAAUAUGAACUUUAUUGAGGUCAAUUCUUGUUCCUCAUCUGGCUGAAAAUGUUAGUUUGAUCCAAAUCUAACCUCACAAUCCUUUUAACCCUUAUGUUCUGUUUUAAGACAUGCAUUGUUUGUUUCCCUCCUGAUAUUUUAUGAAUUUUCCUAAACUACAUAACAUCUUUUCAGAAAAGUGUUUUUUUAAUUAAUGAUAAUGUUUCUGAUGUUCCGCUAUGACAUGACUACACACGUGAUGUUUGGGGUCAGUAAUAAAUGUUACUGAGAGCAAA
Long non-coding RNA from Ictalurus punctatus (channel catfish), 738 nucleotides. RefSeq lists it as uncharacterized. The record is from RefSeq and is a predicted model, not a curated record. NCBI's taxonomy places the organism in Eukaryota, Metazoa, Chordata, Actinopteri, Siluriformes, Ictaluridae. The transcript is spliced from 2 exons.